GGGCCUCAUGUACUGUUUUUUGUUGUGGGCUUCUCCAUCUUGGACUACAGUAGGUUGAAUUCGAGAUGCAAAAAUCCAACAAGAAAUCACCCCCAAAAUCUCCAAGACCUACGCCAAGGUCGUGACCUACCCGAACUAGAAGCUCCAAAUCAAGCUAGCCCGGGAUGGUAGAGUCAUCGGCCUAUUCACCAUCGAUGUUGGGUUCCUCGACAAUGAGAAGUCUGCGUUGUACAUCGAGGUCUACCGAAGCC
This 251-nucleotide long non-coding RNA is filed under the name Elaeis guineensis (African oil palm). Its description in RNAcentral is "long non-coding RNA (EGUI_LNC015754)". The record is from RNAcentral. Lineage: Eukaryota; Viridiplantae; Streptophyta; Magnoliopsida; Arecales; Arecaceae.